GACUCAAAGACAAGCCUUAUUAUUAUUAUUAUUAUAUUUACAGACUGUAUCAAUAACAAGUCAUUGAUGAUUUUCCUGGUUGAUUUAACCAGUACGUUCUAGCUGCACUAAGAUAAGAGAAUCACUUAUUCUGCUUAUAGAAAUCUGUCGUAGCAUUUCGUACAAUAAGAGUGCUUUGUGUCGUUCGGACUAUAUUUGGUUAUGCUUUCAAAUUCGAGGAUGGCUGCCUGGUCGUGCGGUUUGCGGGCUGGACUGUCGUUCGGAUUUAUCGAUGGUCGAGGGUUCAAAUCCUGCCCGCUCCCAUCCCCCGUUUUCCUGCGGGAGGUUUGGACUAGGAAGUAAACUAUCUUCAACUCUGAAGGAACAUCCGAAACAUAUUUGAAGAUCCAAACCCAAACCUUACACAAGACGAUGGUGAUGACAGCGGACAGGGUAUGAAGCUCACUGUUAUCGAAUGGCAAUGAGUUUAGCAACCAGCUAUUUCCAAUAAAGACGAUGUGAAGGUUCUUUUCUUCUCUAAUUUACGUAUGUGUAUUUCAAUGCUGAUUACUAAAUGUUACCAAGUCCUGAACAAUACCGUAACGACACAUAUAACGACAGAAUGAACAUUCAGAAUGACAAUUCACGGACAUAUAACAUGUUUAUUACAUAUGCUUUCAUAUAAUACAGGCACAGUUCUGGCAAAUGAAAUAUCCAGUAUCAAUUGAAAUAUCCAGUAUCAAUUGAAAUAUAACAGCUCAAUAUCCCCUAAGACUGAACAAUAACUAUACAGAAAUAAUUAGAGUCUAUAGUCUAUACUUUAACUCUAUAACUAAAAUCCAACUGUCCUGGACUAUGAACAAAAACUACACUGUUUUACUAUCAGUUACAUUCCAUUCCAAAAAAAAAAAAUCUCACAAAGUAAAACAAUCCAAAACAAAAACAAUCUUGGAAUCAACAACCCGAAUUGCCCCCCUUCUCCUCUAAAGUAAACAGGAGACCCAGGCUGACCAGAACUUAUUCCUGACAGACGAUCUUAUAA
Molecule: long non-coding RNA, 1021 nt
Organism: Biomphalaria glabrata
Lineage: Eukaryota; Metazoa; Mollusca; Gastropoda; Planorbidae
Exons: 3
Source: RefSeq, a predicted model, not a curated record